CACGUAGGGCGCGAGCGUUGUCCGGAAUUAUUGGGCGUAAAGAGCUCGUAGGCGGCCUGUUGCGUCCGCUGUGAAAGCCCGGGGCUUAACCCCGGGUCGGCAGUGGAUACGGGCAGGCUAGAGGUAGGUAGGGGAGAAUGGAAUUCCCGGUGUAGCGGUGAAAUGCGCAGAUAUCGGGAGGAACACCGGUGGCGAAGGCGGUUCUCUGGGCCGUUACCUGACGCUGAGGAGCGAAAGCGUGGGGAGCGAACAGG
RNAcentral lists this ribosomal RNA (254 nucleotides) under uncultured bacterium. RNAcentral's name for it is "partial 16S ribosomal RNA". It matches the Rfam family "Bacterial small subunit ribosomal RNA", at positions 524 to 776 of the family's 1533-position model. The record is from RNAcentral.